Molecule: unclassified non-coding RNA, 363 nt
Filed under: uncultured bacterium
Lineage: Bacteria
Description: contains 16S-23S intergenic spacer region
Source: RNAcentral
UCCCUAUUACUAGAGCAGUCUGAAUAGAAAAAUACAACUAUUCACAAGGGUUGCGCUCGUUGAUGGACUUAACCAAACAUCUCACGACACGAGCUGACGACGGCCAUGCAACACCUGUCACUUGGUUCCAAAAGGCACACUCUACUUUCGUAGUGCUUCCAAGGAUGUCAAGUCCUGGUAAGGUUCUUCGUUUAUCAUCGAAUUAAAGAACACGAUCCACCGCUUGUGCUGAUCCCCGUCAAUUCCUUUAUGUUUUAGUCUUGCGACCGUACUCCACAGGCGGGAUGCUUAACGCGUUAGCUUCGCUACUGAAGGGGUCGAUACCUCCAACAGCUAGCAUCCAUAGUUUACGGCGUGGACUAC